Molecule: long non-coding RNA, 1255 nt
Organism: Stylophora pistillata
Lineage: Eukaryota; Metazoa; Cnidaria; Anthozoa; Scleractinia; Pocilloporidae
Source: RefSeq, a predicted model, not a curated record
AGCGUGUGCUAUCCAUAAAUGUGUCCCUGCCUGUGCAAAAUGUCCUACAAAUGACUUUUCUUAACUUCUUUACCGGUUGCAACUGACUCAAGGUCCGGAAGACGGAGUUUUAUUAAAAGAAGCUGGUAGCAGGAAAGAUUGAAGAACAAGGUCAUAGACUCGCAAUACUGUGGGGAAUUUCCGUUUGUGGGCAACUAGUUACUUGGGUCUCUGCCAUAAAAACAGCUACUUAUCCUUUGGAGCUGAUUAACAGUAUUUAUCACGAACUCUUUCAACCGGUGGGAGAUACGAUGGAAAAGGAUUUUAAUUGACUCAGAGAGGUGUUUUGAACGACUAGCAAAGUGGCCCUGCUAAAAAAUGGGUGUCAUACGCGAACUGACGGGCACGCUUGAGUGGAAUCCUCACGAUUUUUAAUGAGCUUAGACAGAUCAUAAUCCAGUUAAGAAAGAUGUUUUGUUUUUCUUGAGCGAUUUCGUAACUUUAAAGUCAGGUUUCAAUUUGGUACACGUCAGAAUCGAGAUCUAAAAAUUACUUCGAAUACCUCCCUCUCGCCCGAUCAACGUAGUUCAUUUGAUGACUUGGUGACGGCCGACUCGGACACAUCGAUAGACAGGGAGCCUUGCAGGAGGUCCCCACGACAUUUGUUGAUCUUUUUAAAAUGCCGAAUUACUCGUUAAUCAGUUUGGGGCUUUAACCAACAAUAAAACCAGUAUGUGUUUCGUUUAGCAUCUGAAAAAUGCGAGAACUAGGUGUUGAUACUUAAUUCAAGACACCCCCACAAACAACAUGCUGUGUACGUAAACUCUUUGUUCGUUUCUCAGCCGACAGUCCUCGCAGAUUAGGUGGUCUGUGUUCCUAAUAAUUGUUUUUGCUGUUGCUGCUUUGGAAAAAGUUCAAUACUUUUUUGUUAUUUUCAGACUAUCUGUUUCACGUCAUGAUAAAGGUUCAUGAAUGCUGUUGCAAUAAUUGUCAUUAGUGGGCGAUAAAUAGCUUGUUUAAGCAUGUUUCUUUGUUUCCGGAUUAACUUAGUUUCUGCUCAUAAACGUUCAGUUUUGAAAAAUACAACAUCACGAGUAAUGUUAAGUGUCCGAUUUCUUAAAUUGUUUAGGAAAAGAACAUGGCAAUCCUGCAUGCCUGGAUGAAUAUUUUCAAGGGGCACAUGGACGCAUCCGGGGUCAGCGCAAAGUAGGCAAUUUAGUUGUGAUGUACGUCACAGCCUUAACAAAGACCUUUUCUAUGGAAACCAACUCUUCAG